GUGGGGAAUAUUGGACAAUGGGCGCAAGCCUGAUCCAGCCAUGCCGCGUGAGUGAUGAAGGCCCUAGGGUUGUAAAGCUCUUUCACCGGUGAAGAUAAUGACGGUAACCGGAGAAGAAGCCCCGGCUAACUUCGUGCCAGCAGCCGCGGUAAUACGAAGGGGGCUAGCGUUGUUCGGAAUUACUGGGCGUAAAGCGCACGUAGGCGGAUAUUUAAGUCAGGGGUGAAAUCCCAGAGCUCAACUCUGGAACUGCCUUUGAUACUGGGUAUCUUGAGUAUGGAAGAGGUGAGUGGAAUUCCGAGUGUAGAGGUGAAAUUCGUAGAUAUUCGGAGGAACACCAGUGGCGAAGGCGGCUCACUGGUCCAUUACUGACGCUGAGGUGCGAAAGCGUGGGGAGCAAACAGGAUUAGAAACCCCGGUAGUCC
This 425-nucleotide ribosomal RNA is filed under the name uncultured bacterium. RNAcentral describes it as "partial 16S ribosomal RNA". It matches the Rfam family "Bacterial small subunit ribosomal RNA", at positions 354 to 796 of the family's 1533-position model. The record is from RNAcentral.